GAAGUCUGCCAGACCGUCGCUGGCGCAAGGCCCGCAAGGGUGCGCUGGAGGAACGUCCGGACUGCGCAGGGCAGCGUAGGAGGUAACGCCUCUCCACCGCGAGGUGAGGAUCAGAGCAACAGAGACGAGCCGAUUCAGUUCGGGUGAAACGGGCAAUCUCUACGCGCAGCAACACCAAGUAGGCCGGCCGGCUCCGGGCGCAAGUCCGGGGCCACCCGUGGUCCCGCGGGCCGUGUCGGUGGGUAGGUGGCAUCGAGCCGUCCGGGUGACCGGCGGCCCAGAGGAAUGGCGGUCACGCGGGGUCUUCGGGCCCCGUGCACAGAAUCCGGCGUACCGGCGGACUUCACCC
This 349-nucleotide RNase P RNA is filed under the name Tepidimonas fonticaldi. RNAcentral's name for it is "RNase P RNA component class A". It matches the Rfam family "Bacterial RNase P class A". Rfam says of the family: Ribonuclease P (RNase P) is a ubiquitous endoribonuclease, found in archaea, bacteria and eukarya as well as chloroplasts and mitochondria. Its best characterised activity is the generation of mature 5'-ends of tRNAs by cleaving the 5'-leader elements of precursor-tRNAs. Lineage: Bacteria; Pseudomonadati; Pseudomonadota; Betaproteobacteria; Burkholderiales. The record is from RNAcentral.